This 391-nucleotide long non-coding RNA is filed under the name Cucumis sativus (cucumber). Its description in RNAcentral is "long non-coding RNA (CSAT_LNC003175)". The record is from RNAcentral. Lineage: Eukaryota; Viridiplantae; Streptophyta; Magnoliopsida; Cucurbitales; Cucurbitaceae.
CCCUAACAGCGCUGGAUUUCUCAACUGUCGAUCGAGUGACAAUCAUGCCUGCCUGCUUGACAAAGCCUUUUCGGUCUACCAAUAAAGGAAAAACGAUUGCUGUGACACGAAGGCUGUGCUCGACGCUCUUUUUCCUAUUCCACUGCGCGUCGUGGUCUUUCCCUUGCUGGUUGGAUGACUACUAUGGACGAAGAGCACAAUUACUUCCAGUCUCUGGUCGAUAAGUACCCAAGGAAGGUAAAUUCCAGCGAAGAAAGUCGAGAGCUCCUUAGUUGAUCACAAAUCCUUCCAAAUUCUUUGUUCGUAGACUAAUUUGAAAUCCUUCCAAUAUGGAUCCAUGCUGUCUUUAUAUCCAUAAGAUACCAAUUAGAUUGUGUUAAUUAUUGUUUAU